UACGUAGGGGGCAAGCGUUGUCCGGAAUCAUUGGGUGUAAAGAGCUCGUAGGCGGUUCGUCGCGUCGGCUGUGAAAUCCCGAGGCUCAACCUCGGGUCUGCAGUCGAUACGGGCGGACUGGAGUUCGGCAGGGGAGACUGGAAUUCCUGGUGUAGCGGUGAAAUGCGCAGAUAUCAGGAGGAACACCGGUGGCGAAGGCGGGUCUCUGGGCCGAUACUGACGCUGAGGAGCGAAAGCGUGGGGAGCGAACAGG
Molecule: ribosomal RNA, 253 nt
Filed under: uncultured bacterium
Lineage: Bacteria
Description: partial 16S ribosomal RNA
Rfam family: Bacterial small subunit ribosomal RNA
Source: RNAcentral